Long non-coding RNA from Dermochelys coriacea (leatherback sea turtle), 254 nucleotides. RefSeq lists it as uncharacterized. The transcript has 3 exons. The record is from RefSeq and is a predicted model, not a curated record. NCBI's taxonomy places the organism in Eukaryota, Metazoa, Chordata, Testudines, Dermochelyidae.
GCUGGACCCAGACUAGAAAGGAGUCUAGUCUGUGAAAGAAACUUAUUGGAACAUCUCUGAAGGCAUGGAACUUUGAAGUGAAUCCACCUUGGCAAACUGUGGGGAGACCCUGAUUGGCAGAGCUCAGGAGACGGACAAGCUGUCUCAGCCUAUGGGGCGUCGAGUAGCGGGAAGGCUCGAAGCGCCUUGCUGAGAAAAGACAUUUCUGGCUAAAAAUAGCCAGAGCCUCGCGAACCAGCUGAGCGGCAGCGAAC